RNAcentral lists this ribosomal RNA (465 nucleotides) under uncultured bacterium. RNAcentral describes it as "partial 16S ribosomal RNA". It matches the Rfam family "Bacterial small subunit ribosomal RNA", at positions 28 to 507 of the family's 1533-position model. The record is from RNAcentral.
GACGAACGCUGGCGGCGUGCUUAACACAUGCAAGUCGAACGGAAAGGCCCUGUUUGCAGGGUACUCGAGUGGCGAACGGGUGAGUAACACGUGGGUGAUCUGCCCUGCACUUCGGGAUAAGCCUGGGAAACUGGGUCUAAUACCGGAUAUGACCUUCCAUGUAGUGUGGGGGGUGGAAAGAUUUAUCGGUGUGGGAUGAGCCCGCGGCCUAUCAGCUUGUUGGUGGGGUAAUGGCCUACCAAGGCGUCGACGGGUAGCCGGCCUGAGAGGGUGGACGGCCACAUUGGGACUGAGAUACGGCCCAGACUCCUACGGGAGGCAGCAGUGGGGAAUAUUGCACAAUGGGCGGAAGCCUGAUGCAGCGACGCCGCGUGGGGGAUGACGGCCUUCGGGUUGUAAACCUCUUUCGACAGGGACGAAGCUUCGGUGACGGUACCUGUAUAAGAAGCACCGGCUAACUACGUG